AUGGGGCGGGCACGCUGGGCACCCGCGCCGUGGCGGAAGGCGGCUUGGCACGGGGAGAAGUUUCUCUGCGUAGAGCUGUGGCACGCCGGCUGCGGGAGAGGCUCUGACGGCGCUUCCCGAGAGCGCAGCAGCAGGCGGGGUGGGGUGGGGAUGGAUUUUGGAAGCGGGGAGGGAAGCUCUGCACGGCUUUGGUUUCUCCUCCCCGGGAAUCGUUUGGGAAAUUGGCUCUUCCCUGGGUUCUGCGCCCAAAAGCAAAGCCCUGCCAGGCUGUGCAGGGUGGGCAUCCAUGGGGCACCUGUGGAGCAGGCACUGGAGGUCAGAGCCAGCCCCGUGCCCACGGAUGCUGCUGGCUCGCACCCACCCCUCGCCCAAGCCCUUUCUGUCCCUGGCAGAGAUGCCCAGCUCCUUCCACCGGGCAGAGCAGCCAGGAGCUGUGAUCCCCCCAGGUGCCCCUCGCAGGUGCUUUGCCCUCCCGCUGCCACGCCGAGGCACUGCCCAGGGCCAGCGGUGUGUGGUGGCAGCUUGGUGACCCCGGGGGGCUUUUGGUCGAGUCGGGGUCUGGAUCUGUCUGUGCUGAGCUCCAGCAAAGCCCAUCCUGGUGCGCAGGGCCACCGAGGCAUGCAGCACCACCCAGGCCAGGGAGCAGCAGCCCCCGCUGUCCCCCCUCCCUCCCUCCCAGCCCCCCCGGCAGCACCGGUGCCGCCGCUCCGCUGCGUGUCAGAUCCGUUGGCAUCAGCACUUCUCGCCUCCGCCGGGCCGAUCUCACGGCAUCUCCGGCUCACGCGGCGCUUAGGAAACCAUCAUCCCUCUCACAUUUCCCUGCGCGCUCGCUCGUGCUCGGGAGUGCCUGGUGGCUCUGCAGCCCCCCCCUCCCCAACCCCCCCAGCCCUAGCCCCCUGCUCCCAGCCCUUCCCAUCCCCGGCACACGCAGGAGACCCGCGGGGAAAGCAGCGCUGCGUUUGCCACGCGCUCCCCGGGGCUGUGUCCCCACCCGUGCCACCCCCAGCCCCGCCGCCCUGCUGCGCCCCAGGCAGCACCCGUGGCUGGGGACGAGCCAGGAGCUCUGAGCUCAGCUUCUCUGUCUAA
RNAcentral lists this long non-coding RNA (1086 nucleotides) under Anas platyrhynchos platyrhynchos (common mallard). RNAcentral describes it as "lncRNA (ENSAPLG00000028798.1)". Lineage: Eukaryota; Metazoa; Chordata; Aves; Anseriformes; Anatidae. The record is from RNAcentral.